GUGCUUGCUUCGGCAGCACAUAUACUGAAAUUGGAGCAAUACAGAGAGGAUUAGCAUGGCUCCUGCUCAAGGAUGACACCCAACUUUGUGAAAUGUUCCAUACUUUA
Choloepus didactylus (southern two-toed sloth) is the source of this 107-nucleotide small nuclear RNA. The record is from RefSeq and is a predicted model, not a curated record. Lineage: Eukaryota; Metazoa; Chordata; Mammalia; Pilosa; Megalonychidae.